GGACCCGCACAAGCGGUGGAGCAUGUGGUUUAAUUCGAUGCAACGCGAAAAACCUUACCUAUACUUGACAUACUUGGAAUGCUUUGUAAUGAAGCAGUGCCUUCGGGAGCCAGGAUACAGGUGCUGCAUGGCUGUCGUCAGCUCGUGUCGUGAGAUGUUCCGUUAAGUCGGAUAACGAGCGCAACCCUUACCCUUAUUUGCCAGCGAUUCGGUCGGGAACUAUAAGGGGACUGCCGGUGAUAAACCGGAGGAAGGUGAGGACGACGUCAAGUCAUCAUGGCCCUUACGUAUAGGGCUACACACGUGCUACAAUGGGGCGUACAGAGGGUUGCAAACCCGCAAGGGGGAGCUAAUCCCACAAAGCGCGUCGUAGUCCGGAUUGUUCUCUGCAACUCGAGAACAUGAAGUCGGAAUU
RNAcentral lists this ribosomal RNA (415 nucleotides) under uncultured bacterium. RNAcentral describes it as "bacterial SSU rRNA". It matches the Rfam family "Bacterial small subunit ribosomal RNA", at positions 917 to 1333 of the family's 1533-position model. The record is from RNAcentral.